CAGAGGGCAAAGGGGCUUUCCAAAGAUCAUUGCAUGAAUGGCCUACAGCUUUGGUUUAGAUGUCAUGAACUAAGCCUCGCCCAAACGAAGACUAAUACAAAUCUUGAGUUUCCUUACUCGUUUAUCAGGGAAAUAAACAAGGAAAAUGGUCACAGCAAAUACCAAGUCAAUAAAAAAUGAUGUUGAGAGCUUGAAACAAAUAAAAUCUCAUAACAAACUCAAAAUUGGUGCAAGAUAGCUUCUAGUUCUGCCACGGAAUUGUCAACUUCAAUAGCAUUUUGAGAUUUCAUUCAACUGGAAGCACUUGGGGGAAUGCAUGAUACCUUCUAUCUGCAUAAAAUAUAUUUUGACUAUCGAGAGCAAUGGGAACAUAUAGGCCAGCUCAGGUUUAGUGGCGUACUAUUAAACAACUGAACUUCAUUCUCAUGAAAUUGACACAGGAGCCCCCAUAUCCUCCAUCUUUUGACGCUUGGCUUCAGGGUCUUCGCUGUUUUCAUGGUUGAGAUGGCCAUUCACCGCCUCAGGACCCAAAAGAGAGACGUGUUUGCUAGUAAUUUGACGACCUGCCCUAAUUUUUGGCCCCCAAUGCCUUUCAGGAUUUGGAAGGAAGCGAGCAACCUUCUUGGCUUGUGCCUUGCUAAGAGAUGCAACAGCUCGAGCAAAAUUUGCUUGAAGAACAGGUUCUUUGGCAAGUAUCACACUUCCUGGUUGAUCAGGCAGUUGAGCUUUCACAGGAUGAAUUUUCACCCAGCAUCUCAUUAUAUCCCAAAUGACAUCCAUGGGAGCAUCUGAUUUUAGCCCCAGUGGAUUUACAUGUGUUCCAGAAAUGCGAUAUCCUGCAUUGAUCACAGCAGAACGGAAGAUUACUGCUUGUGGGGAAGUGCAUUUUAGUGUUGCGCAAAGGUUGUGCAGACUCAAAAAGAGCGGAACAUCAGACAAUUCCUCAGAUAUUGUCGUCAAUACUGCAGAGAUGUGAUCAUAAGCAGGAUACCGGUCCUUCAUGCAUUUUACACCUCCUAGUAUGGAAAUCACCCAUUCUUGAUCAUGAAUGGGAGCAGACCAUAUAGGUCCGCCCAUGUUAAAUUUCUUCCCACAGUGACUGCAUUCUUGAGGAACAGCAGGACCAAACCCAGGCAGAUACCUUACACUGUUGUUCUUGGCGAUUGUCCUCCCAAUAGGCUGUAGAUGAAAAGAAUCACAACCAAUGCAUUGAUAAACAUAGGAAAGCUUAAGAGGAGUGUUUUUCAUUGCACUUGCAGAGGUGUAUAUACGAACAAAAACUCGAAUGUAGAAGUCUAUUUGGACAGAUAGCACAGGGACAAUGUAACGCUUGUAGCGAUUUGCAUGGCUCUCUAUGCUGGCAAGAAGGAUCCUCAAAGCCAUUUCAUGGCAAUAUUUCCCUCUCAAUGGAUAAGAGCCAUACUUUGAAUAGCAAACCUCGCCAUUACCUCCACAAAGCACUGCCAUAUCGGUUGCUGUACACAUCAACAAGCCACCAUCAGCAACAGAUUGAACUGCAGAGUCCAAGAAUAUCGAAGGUGAUCCAUAGGGAUCAAGAUCAACCACAUCAAAUUCUUUUGGGUGCGUGAGCAUAUAUACACGAGCAUCAGCAAGAUGUGAUUCCACCUUUGAAAUUGCUACUGAACCAUUAAACUUUAUGUUUCUUCUGCAAGCUUCAACCGACGCUUGAUCAUUGUCCAAGGCCACAACUUGACCAAUCCCUUCAACCUCACGAGCAUAUCUUAGGGCUCUCAACCCAGAAGCUGACAGUGCCUAUGUAUCCAGAAUGAAAGUACUUGAAGAUAAUUCAAUAACAAUACAAAAUAUGUAAAAAAUGAAACAACAAAGCUAUUAGCAAAUAAUUAAUGAAAAGAGCAUAAUAAUAUAUAAAAAAACUAGAUAUUCAUAAUAAAACCUCAAGAACUGUUGGGGGCUCCAGCUCCUGUCGAACUUUGCACUCUGUGGUCUUCAUUGGUUCUACUGAUAUGCUACCAGGUUCGUCCUUUGUUAUCUCUUCUGGCACAUCACAUUCUCCGUCUAAUUUUUUAUUAUCCAAAGCAGGUUCAUUAGAGACCUCUUCAGUAGCAGAUCCUGAAGCAGCUUUCUCAGAUGCCUUUUCUUCACAUUCUCCAUUUGCUUUUUCGUUAUUGAAAGCAGGCUUAUCAAAUGCUUCUUCAACAGGAGAUCCAGAAGUGUCUUUCUCUGAUACCUUUUGUAUUGAUUUUGUUCUUCUGGACAUCCUUGCUUCAUGUUCCUCUUUGCGUUUAGAUAUAAAUGUCCUUAGGACAGCAAUGGAUAAGUCUCUGUUGUGAACCUGGGCUUUGUUGAAAAACACUUUGUUUUUGUUAUGCAUGAGAAUCUCAGCCUCUCCUUCCUUGAUAAUGGUAUAGUCAUCGAGAUCCAUAGUCAAUAUUUCUCUGUUUUCAUGCAGCAACAAAAGAUUACUCUUGUAGGUCUUUGCUUCUUCUUCAGCAGAUUCUCUCUUAUGCUUGUUUUGAGGUUUCUGCUUCCUAGAAAUUGAAGAUAGAAACUUUAGCAAUGAUAGGCUCAGAGUAUUUAUUGAGGAGAGACCUUUUUGCAGUUUCAGAGUUCG
This 2593-nucleotide unclassified non-coding RNA is filed under the name Hevea brasiliensis (rubber tree). The record is from RNAcentral. Lineage: Eukaryota; Viridiplantae; Streptophyta; Magnoliopsida; Malpighiales; Euphorbiaceae.